AGUGAACGCUGGCGGUAGGCCUAACACAUGCAAGUCGAACGGCAGCACAGGAGAGCUUGCUCUCUGGGUGGCGAGUGGCGGACGGGUGAGGAAUACAUCGGAAUCUACUCUGUCGUGGGGGAUAACGUAGGGAAACUUACGCUAAUACCGCAUACGACCUACGGGUGAAAGCGGGGGAUCUUCGGACCUUGCGCGAUUGAAUGAGCCGAUGUCGGAUUAGCUAGUUGGCGGGGUAAAGGCCCACCAAGGCGACGAUCCGUAGCUGGUCUGAGAGGAUGAUCAGCCACACUGGAACUGAGACACGGUCCAGACUCCUACGGGAGGCAGCAGUGGGGAAUAUUGGACAAUGGGCGCAAGCCUGAUCCAGCCAUACCGCGUGGGUGGAGAAGGCCUUCGGGUUGUAAAGCCCUUUUGUUGGGAAAGAAAUCCAGCUGGCUAAUACCCGGUUGGGAUGACGGUACCCAAAGAAUAAGCACCGGCUAACUUCGUGCCAGCCGCCGCGGUAA
This 506-nucleotide ribosomal RNA is filed under the name uncultured bacterium. RNAcentral describes it as "partial 16S ribosomal RNA". It matches the Rfam family "Bacterial small subunit ribosomal RNA", at positions 29 to 523 of the family's 1533-position model. The record is from RNAcentral.